AACGCAAAUUGCACUCCUUGGUAUCCCGGGGAGUAUGCCUGUUUGAGGGUCAGUAUAAUAAAAAUCGGGGUGUUGCUCUCUUCGGGGUGACGCACCGGAGCUUGGGUUAUCUUAACCUUUUUUUAGGGGUUAAGAGGCUUUAAAUUGAUACCAUGUUUUGCGCACUCAUCUAGACGUACAUAAAUUUUUUUUUAUUCGUCUAUCCUGAUGCCAAAAAUUACUAGACGCGAUCGUACCGUAUGAUCCCGUGUCUAUAAAUUUCAUGAUUUGACCUCAAAUCAGGUAGGAGUACCCGCUGAACUUAA
Molecule: unclassified non-coding RNA, 305 nt
Filed under: uncultured fungus
Lineage: Eukaryota; Fungi
Description: partial contains 5.8S ribosomal RNA, internal transcribed spacer 2, and large subunit ribosomal RNA
Source: RNAcentral